RNAcentral lists this ribosomal RNA (653 nucleotides) under uncultured Desulfobacterium sp. RNAcentral describes it as "bacterial SSU rRNA". It matches the Rfam family "Bacterial small subunit ribosomal RNA", at positions 1 to 609 of the family's 1533-position model. The record is from RNAcentral. Lineage: Bacteria; Pseudomonadati; Thermodesulfobacteriota; Desulfobacteria; Desulfobacterales; Desulfobacteriaceae.
ACAUCUAGAUUGCGGAUCCGCGGCCGCAGAGUUUGAUCCUGGCUCAGUAUGAACGCUGGCGGCGUGCUUAACACAUGCAAGUCGAACGAGAAAGGGAGUGCUUGCAUUCCCGAGUAGAGUGGCGCACGGGUGAGUAACACGUGGAUAAUCUACCUUUGAAUCCGGGAUAACUGUUCGAAAGAAUCGCUAAUACCGAAUGAAGUCAAUGUUUCCUAGGAAAUAUUGAUGAAAGACAGCCUCUUCUUGAAAGCUGUUGUUUGAAGAUGAGUCCGCGCACCAUUAGCUUGUUGGUGGGGUAAAGGCCUACCAAGGCUCUGAUGGUUAGCUGGUCUGAGAGGAUGAUCAGCCACACUGGAACUGACACACGGUCCAGACUCCUACGGGAGGCAGCAGUGAGGAAUUUUGCGCAAUGGGGGCAACCCUGACGCAGCAACGCCGCGUGAGUGAAGAAGGCCCUUGGGUCGUAAAGCUCUGUCAAUGGGGAAGAAGUUAUUAUACUUUAAUAGAGUAUAGUAUUGACGGUACCCAUGAAAGAAGCACCGGCUAACUCCGUGCCAGCAGCCGCGGUAAUACGGGGGUGCAAGCGUUAUUCGGAAUUAUUGGGCGUAAAGGGCACGCAGCGGUCCAACAGGUCAGAUGUGUAAGCCCUGGCU